UUACAAAAUAUUUGCUUUAAUAAGGAGUAAAAAGUCUUUUUGUUAAAUAAGCAGUGAUAUCUGAAAAAGUUAUAGUAAUAUUUCUUCCAUAUGCUUAAUUCAGCUUAUUGUUCAAGUGAUAAUCCGAAACUUCAACCACCAUGGUUGAAUCAUCCAAAACAUUUGGUUUCAGACAGCGGACAUGAUUUCGCCAAAUCUUUGAAUAUCAAGACAGUUUUGUAGGCAGCUGCUACAGCUAUGUUUUCGAUUUACCGUGCUCAACUUGGUCCCGAGCGAGCUGGAUAAUCGAGGUUCAAAUGUAUUUCUUAAAUUUAUGUUUGCGCCAGAUAUUUUAAAGCCAACAAAGCAUAAAAUAAAAUUACUGCUAUGCUAUUGGAGCUAUAUCAGUUCUGGUCCCAUUCGGACCAUAAUAGAAUUGAAUGUUGGAGACCAUAGUGCAAUAGAAGUCAUUGUGUGAAAUUUCAGCCAAUUCAAUGGUUACGAAAAUAUAAACGAAAUUAAAUGAAAGCAAUGGAACAGCGGCAACUCCCAUAACCGCAAUAGCAGCUGGACAGCAAAUAAGUAUUUUAUGGUGAUACCCUAGAAAACUAGCGAUUGUUCAAGUUUUAAAUUCAUGACCAAGGGUGAUGAUAUAUCAUUUGCUAAGCUGCUGAUGACGUUAGGGAAGAAAAUAAAUGUUUCGAUGUUUAUUCAAACUGUGUGUCAAUAUGUGUUUUAUACACUUCUAGCACAGAGAAGAAUUGUCGCCAUUUGAUAAAACUUUUAAAUAUGCAAUAAUUUUUUUUCGAU
Molecule: long non-coding RNA, 789 nt
Organism: Stomoxys calcitrans (stable fly)
Lineage: Eukaryota; Metazoa; Arthropoda; Insecta; Diptera; Muscidae
Exons: 3
Source: RefSeq, a predicted model, not a curated record